ACAACACCGCAGGGAACACGAGCAGCCUCGUCGGAAAACAGAACCACUAAAACGUCAAAUAGUAGACAUGUCGAAAAACGAGCUACAACUGACUCUCGGACUAGUCAAUUGUCAAAUAGGCAAAAAACAUGAAAGGUUCAUGGUGGAAAGUACGUGGUUAAAAAUCACAAGUUAAAAGAAAGUUAUUCCUAAAUUGAUUAUACUAGUUAAAAUGAUAGAUAUAUUUAGUGAAUUUGUCGAACUACAGCCACAGGACACAAAACGGAUUAAAACGAACAACACGUGGGUUAAGAUUCGCAGAUAAAAGGCAGAAUAUCUAUUGCAGGAGGAAGAGAAACUAAAUCUUUGAUCUACUAACAGCGAAGUUGAUCCAAAGAAUUUCUUUCCGUAACCCAAACACUAUCCCUAAGGAAUAAAUGGAAAUCAAAUCGCCAAAUGUGGACUGUUUAGAAGCUGACUGAAACAAAAGCAAAAUAGCUGAGGGCCUGUCCGUUUAUUCUGCUGAAAAGCACGAUAUCACUUCUAGGUGGAUUAAUUCGAUUUUUUAAUUAUUUAAUGAACAUUCGGGAUGAGUUCGGGACCUAUCUCACCAUGGAUGGCAACGACUGGCAGGGCACUUCGUAUUUUACUUCCCGCACGAAGAAAGUGAGCUCCGAAGUGAAGUUUGUUUCACACACCAAGUUCCCCAAGAAGGUGCUGCUGUGGCUGACAAUCAGCGAGAAGGGGAUGUCAAAGCAGCUCUUCUUUAGUUCCGGACUGGCUGUGAACGGGGGAAUUUAUAGUACGAAGUGCCUGCCGGAAGUUGCGUUAUUCAUCAAGAAAUACCAUAAGGGCGAAGACGCGGUGUUCUGGCCGGAUCAGUUGGAAAAUAUUAAUACUGAUUGUCUAUUUUUUUUAUUUCACGACAAAAAUAUAUUAUUUUCUAACUUUACAUUUAACUUUUAG
Molecule: long non-coding RNA, 945 nt
Organism: Toxorhynchites rutilus septentrionalis
Lineage: Eukaryota; Metazoa; Arthropoda; Insecta; Diptera; Culicidae
Exons: 3
Source: RefSeq, a predicted model, not a curated record